GGGAAACUGACACUGCACACCUCUGAGCAAGGAAAGUCAUCUUGGAAAACCACUGGUGCUGUGUGGAGUCCAGAGUCCCAGCAGCCCAUUGGAUGUGAAGUUGAAUGUGAAGAGAGAGAAGCUGAGCACAAGAAAUGGACUGGGUUGUUUUGGUUUGGCCAACCCCAAACUGAGUUUGGCCACAAGGCAAAGACACAGUCAGUUUUUGUGUCAAACGUGGGGUCUUUUUAUAGAAGGCUUUAUUUGCAUACUAUGCAGUAAAGCUCUUCCGUGUAUCCCAUUUCUCUGAGGCACUACAGCUCUAACUCGUGCCCAUGGGAUUUGAUAGGACCUUUUAGGAUGCUAAAACCCCUUUGUACUUGUCUAGGGUUCUUUCUCUACCACGCACAGAAAGUGCUAGAGUUUUCUUCUUCUCCAUAGAUGACGCACGCCUAAGAGAUAAUUACCUCAUAGCUAUAGGAACGUUUAGAGCUUAGCAGAAAAAUAGUCACUAGACAGGUUAGCGAGACAUUUGGGAUCCUUUCAGGGCCUAAAGUUAUUUUUUGUAGAU
Non-coding RNA from Cyanistes caeruleus (blue tit), 550 nucleotides. Lineage: Eukaryota; Metazoa; Chordata; Aves; Passeriformes; Paridae. The record is from RefSeq and is a predicted model, not a curated record.